ACUCUCUUCGGCCCAGCCGGCGGGUUUCUCUAGCUUUUCGUCAAGACCGCAUGCCCUAGAGACUGUCGGAGUUUUUGUACUGCCUUCUGGAACUCGUAGUCCUUUAAGGACGCGAAGGGGGCUUAUGCCGCGGGCAGGUUACCGGGGGUGGACUGCAUUUCCCAGGGUGCAUGAAGAAACCGAGGCGCUGAGGAGGGCGGGAGGACUGUUUCCAUAGCAAAGGCGGCUGGUUGGGGCCGGCUGACUGAGAAAUGGGGCAGGCCGCGGGACCCUCGGAUUGUGCGUGACUACCGGCAGCCUCUUGGGAGGCCGUUUCGAUUUUUUUUUUUUUUUUUUUUGUCCUCGGCACCCUCCACGGGACUCUGGGCCUCAGUUUUCCUACCUGAGAAGAAGGGUGUGGAGCCGUCCCCCUGCCCACAGUCCGCGGUGAUGGGGCAAACCGAGGUCGAGCCGCUCUGGUUUGCCCAGCAAAGGUUCUACAGGUACUGAGGUGGCAGCUCAUCCCUGUGGUUCCCGUGUGGCCCCAGUUCUGCCCUCUGAAGCUCAGAGCCCACAUACCAGAUGUUACGGAACCUCUUUACCUUGGCUGCCCCUCUCUGCAAAUAUGUGGCCAGACUAGAAUGUUCAAGCCCGGACAAAGAAACUGAGGCCUAUAGAGGUUCUAAGACUAGCCCAAGGUCACACAGCCAGUAAGUGGGAGAGAUGGGCCAGCCAUCCACUGUCAGAGCCUGAGUACUGCCCUUCCUACUGCCCAUUCUACUGUGGAACAUCUCUGGCUAUUGAAACGUUUUCUCUCACAUGGAGCUAAAAAUCUCCUUCUCACUAAAGCCACACCAUCAUUGAUCUUUCUUGACCAACUCCCAUCAACUAGAGUUAAGAAAGCCUUGUCGGGCACAACCAGCUACUUUGAUAGUUUGGCAGACUGCAGGAUGAACCUUCAGGACUGAGUCUCCUUUGGAUUUGCCCAGCUAGUGACUACAGCUGAAGCCCUGAGACAUGUACUCCUUGGGACCAGGAAAGGUGAGAAGGGCAUCCUGAAAAUCCUUCCUGAAGAUGAUAAGACUUGGCAUCAUUUCGAGAGGCUUAUUUGUCAUUGAUACUGCCCCAGGAGCUGGGGGAAUUGAGUGGCACCUGAGGAUAAUGAACUAAGGACACCUCUGGCUCAGAACUUGAGAAAAUCCCUCUGGACCCAAAGAGGCCACAAGCCCACAGAUUAAAGCCCAAAUUCUACAGAAAUGAAUUUUUGUCAUCUGUAUCAGAAACUGGCCACCUCAGCCCUGGAGUUCUUCAUUUGUGUCCCCAAGCCAGCUCAUCUAUUUUAUGCCAGGGCACAUCAUAUAUCUCUGGAUAGUCCCAUCCGGGUUCAACCACUGGGGCCAAAAAGGUAGGGCACCAAGGUAGCCAACUGUCCCUUCUGCCAGUGGACAGGGUGAUGCAGACACCACUAUUAGACUGUCUGCUACGGUCCCGGAUUCAUUUUUUUUUAUUGUUUACUCAUGCUCGUGUUUCAGUUUUUGGCCUUUAUUAUUGUUGUCUUGAGGUCUUUUCAGGGUCCUUAAAAAUUCCUCAGGCGCCCAGCCUGGUUUAUUGCAGUGGCUCCUACCCAGAUGCCUGGCAUGGGGAGGAUCAUUCAUAAACAGGAAGUCACUUCUUCCUCCCACUUAAGUCUUACCUGUCAUCAAAAAAGGGAGGGGAGACCAUACUUAAUAAACACCACCCAUUAGAUUAGAUCGACGGUCCCCAAAUAUUGCAUUUCUUCCAGAAACAGUAUCUUUUGCCCUCACAGAAGAGCAUGUGGUCAAGAGGAAAUUGAAUAAAGUCCUUUAAUCAGCCACA
Long non-coding RNA from Felis catus (domestic cat), 1836 nucleotides. RefSeq lists it as uncharacterized. NCBI's taxonomy places the organism in Eukaryota, Metazoa, Chordata, Mammalia, Carnivora, Felidae. The record is from RefSeq and is a predicted model, not a curated record. The transcript has 6 exons.